This 336-nucleotide ribosomal RNA is filed under the name Aphanomyces astaci. Its description in RNAcentral is "partial large subunit ribosomal RNA". It matches the Rfam family "Bacterial large subunit ribosomal RNA", at positions 1443 to 1776 of the family's 2925-position model. The record is from RNAcentral. RNAcentral also lists the same sequence under 4 other names. Lineage: Eukaryota; Oomycota; Saprolegniomycetes; Saprolegniales; Verrucalvaceae.
AAUUCUAAUUUAAUAGAAGUCAAGUUAUGGUCUGAGAGAUAACUUAAAAAUGGUAAGUUAUUUAGGAACAAGAUAAAAGGCAAAACACCAAACUUCAUACAAACUUAAAUGUUUGACAUUUAAAAAUUAAAGAGAUUUUUUUUAACGUGUAUUUGAGACAAAUAAGCCAACCUUGGUACAUAACCGCUGAAAACUAAAAAACCGUACCCUAAACCAACACAGGUGGAUAGGUCGAGUAGACUAAGGUGUAUGAGAUAAUUAUGUUGAAGGAACUCGGCAAAAUGACUCUGUAACUUCGGGAGAAAGAGUACCUUUUUAUUUAAGUGUUUAUCGACG